Molecule: non-coding RNA, 170 nt
Filed under: pig gut metagenome
Description: Lysine riboswitch
Rfam family: Lysine riboswitch aptamer
About the family: Riboswitches are metabolite binding domains within certain messenger RNAs that serve as precision sensors for their corresponding targets.
Source: RNAcentral
AGAGGUAGAGGUCGCGUAAUUCAUCAGUAAUUCACAGGAUGUGGCAGACACAGUAGAAUGUGAAGGAAAGGGAGGCACGCCGAAAGAAUACAUUGUUCUGCAGAUGUUUUCUUGGGCGCAAGUUUAAGAGACUUGUGACUGUCAUCCCCGUAGGGGAUGGGGAGCUAUCA